Molecule: long non-coding RNA, 702 nt
Organism: Penaeus indicus
Lineage: Eukaryota; Metazoa; Arthropoda; Malacostraca; Decapoda; Penaeidae
Exons: 3
Source: RefSeq, a predicted model, not a curated record
AUAUAAAAGCAGUGCCAGACGUUGUCCUUAGUUCAUACUACUGUCCUUCAUUCUCGAUUCGAGUGCUUACAGGGAAGGAUUCAACGAUGAAGUGGAUCGGUCUGACUUUCUUGUUGUUGUCAUCCUUGAUGGUGGCGACAGAAGCGCGACCCCAAGGCAGAUUCCCGCCUCAUUUUCCUCCAAGCGGGCCUUUGAUCCCUCCAUACCCAUGCAACUGCACGUUCCCACCGUGUCCUUGUGAUCCUCCUAGACCCAUCGACUUCAUAAGGGCCAAGCGACGCGUGUAAGGACGACUCCGGAAGGCCAUGCGAGUCUUCAGGAUGGUUUUCCUUGUCGUCCACGUCCUUGGAUUCUCUUAAGUGAUUUUCUUCGUUUUCUUAUUGUCUACGUAAAUUAAUAGGUUUUCAUUUUGUCUGUAAAGGUUAUCAGGCGUUCUAUUCAUGUCUUGUACAAGUUAUUGAGAUUUCCUUAUCGUCAGUGCAAGCUAUCAAGUGUUUUCUUCGUGUAAACAUAACUUAGCAAGGUUCCAUUAGUGCCUGUGCAAAUCAUUGUUUUUUGUUUCUUUACACUAGUUAUCAGGGCUUCCCUAGUGUCUGUACGAAUCAUUAUGUCUUACAUGCUUGUCUGUAUUAGUGCAAGACUUAAAAAGUUCUCCAUUUGAUUCUAUUUGUAGUACUGUAAAAAAUAAAUUGCCAUAAUUGU